UAUGAAAAAUAAUUCAUCAAACUCAUUCGAUAGACAAAAAUAAAUCAUAACACAAGAAUUGUCAUAUAGAUCUCUACUCAUCCCUAACAUCGGGAAAAAUGAUAUGCUGAUAAUGUUUGACAAACCAAAAUAAGAGUGUUAAGAAUUACACAUAAAGAACAAAAAUUGUAGAAUCCAACUCUGGUUUCCUAGAUUGAAUCACCAAAUCUUGAGCUCCCAAGAUUACAAAAAGGAGAUUAUCUAUCUCCCAAACUUCAGACCCCUUGCAAAAUCUCAAAUUUUAGCUUAAGUAGGCAUUCUAGUAGAAAUUGUACUACCUGGCCUAGCAUUAUGGCGCCAAACAUGCCAUGUUGAUUAUGCACAAGCAAAGGUUUAAAGUUCAAGGAAUGCUUGAAGUAUCAAAUAAAAAUGCAUAUGAGUGGCAGUUAAUUCACUGAGCAAGCAAGAGAUGAGCAUGUAGUGAGCCAAGUCAAAAUAUUGAGGAAAAUUAGGACAUGCAAUUUUUUUAAGUGAGCCUAAAGAGAGAUUAAAGUGACGUCAGAGAGACAAGGGUGAAUUGCAAGAGAAGAUUCACUAAGCGAGAACUAAUUCUCUUAACGAUUCAAGGCGAUAUACAUGACAUCAGAGAUGAACUGGCAAUUACUUCAUAAUGAAGAAACCUCAAUUCAUUAAACGAGUACUCGUUCACUUAAGUGAAUCUUCACUUUUGUUAAAGAAGUAGUGCCGAUGAGAGAGAGUGAUCGGACCAUAUUUUGUUUAAUUUAUGUUUUCUCUUUUGUUAUUUUCCUUCUUAUGUCUUUAUUUUUUUUUUGUCUAAUGU
Molecule: long non-coding RNA, 820 nt
Filed under: Medicago truncatula (barrel medic)
Lineage: Eukaryota; Viridiplantae; Streptophyta; Magnoliopsida; Fabales; Fabaceae
Description: lncRNA gene25343
Source: RNAcentral